This is a non-coding RNA of Nicotiana tabacum (common tobacco), 1404 nucleotides long. The record is from RefSeq and is a predicted model, not a curated record. Lineage: Eukaryota; Viridiplantae; Streptophyta; Magnoliopsida; Solanales; Solanaceae.
ACUUAUUACAUGUACAUGUGAAUUGAAUGUAAUCUGAGAUUUUAUUUAGUACCAUGUAUUGAAGUUUAGAACAAGAAAUGCUUAGAUGACGAACAGACGUGCAUUGAAUCGUUGCGGGUUGCUUCCUUUUCUUGACCUAUUGUCCUUCUAAUUUCAUCUGCCGAAGGAAACUCCUUUCACUAUAUCAGUCUUGGUAUAUUUGCUGUAACAUAGGAUGGUUCAAGGAUGGCAAGAACAUAUUCCUUCCUUUUUAUUCCUUCUAGCAUUUAUCCUUUCAUUUUGGAAAAAGAAUAUUACUACAAUCUUUGGGGAUAUGAAAUGAUGAACUAUUCUAUAUUGGCAGUAUUCGAUGUCACAAGUAAAGAUAAGAAUAUUAUUACAAAGGUAUCAGCCUUGGAUUAUAUCAUGAAGCCUGCAGGUGUAAUUGACUUCUUACAAGAAUAACUACUUAAGGGAAAACGUAGUAGAGGAAAUAUUGCUAAAUUUGUUACCAUAAAUGAGUACAUUUUGAAAGACAGAUCUGGAGAAGGUUUAAUAUUGGAGGGAUUCAGUUGGUGAAGCAGGCAAAACAGUAAGAUGCAAUUUACCAAGUGGUUAUGAAUGGUACAAGGCUAUCUUUCUUUUCCUCUAUAAUCAACUAAACAAUAGUCUUCAACUAAUGUUUGUACUUGGAGAACAUUUCUGAAAUCUUGUGUGAUUUAUAAAAAUAAGAAGUAUUUAGACAUAUCAUUGUGCAAUUUAGAAAAGAGAAAAAGACAGAGCUACAAAUAGAAAAUUUAUAAAUUUAUGGUAACUUCCCAAAAGAAUUAUCUUUCAUGGAAGAAAAGCAAGUUAUGUGCAAAGAAGUAGGAACUAACUAGAAGUCCACCUAAAGCAGUUAUGGUAUCCUCAAUUAAAAAUUUCAUUUUUGUGUUUCUUCUUUCAAGAUAUAGUGCUUUCCUUUCUUUUUAAAGUUUUUACUCAAAAUUUCUCAUUACUUCCAAUAUGGUGGCAAUGAGAGAGAACACAGGAAGGAUCCAACUUCAAGUUCCGAGCAUGACAUACCAGAAACACCAGAUCCAAAGCGUUUAUCUUAUGGAAUUUUAAUUUAAUUUUCUUCACAUACACUAAGGAGACAUGCUCAGAAUAGAGAGGCAGCACGAAAAAGUAGACUCGGCAAAAAGAAAUAUGACGAAUGAAAACCAAACUAAUGGAAGUGUUGCGGGAACGGGUGCUACUGUUACGAGUGUUGCUGCCUCGUCAAGCCGUUCUACUCCUGCCCAUGCUAUGGCACCGACAGAAAAACCCGAAAAGUUUUCUGGUAUUGACUUCAAAUGCUGGCAAAUGAAGAUGCUCUUCUAUCUUACUACGUUGAGUUUGCAAUGUUUCAUCAAGGAGGAUCCUCCGUUCCUGGCUGAAGGCNUC